Molecule: non-coding RNA, 74 nt
Organism: Schistosoma haematobium
Lineage: Eukaryota; Metazoa; Platyhelminthes; Trematoda; Strigeidida; Schistosomatidae
Source: Rfam
AGCUUUCUGAAUCCGUGCUGAGAUUUCAUCAGACACCAACCCAUCAGGGCUGAUUAGACUUCCGAGAUAACGCG